This is a long non-coding RNA of Cynoglossus semilaevis (tongue sole), 272 nucleotides long. RefSeq lists it as uncharacterized. NCBI's taxonomy places the organism in Eukaryota, Metazoa, Chordata, Actinopteri, Pleuronectiformes, Cynoglossidae. The transcript is spliced from 3 exons. The record is from RefSeq and is a predicted model, not a curated record.
UCUCCUUUACCAGGGCAAAUCACUAUACCACAAGAACGUCUAAAAUCUCAGAUAUUAACCAGGAUGUGAAAGUGACUGCAGAGGGAUCAGGAGAGGCCACACUGACUAUGGUGUCGUUGUAUUACGUUCUGCCAACAGAGAAAGAAAGUGACUGUCAAAAGUUUGAUUUGUCAGUGGAGCUCAUUCAAGGUACUUCUGUAGCACCAUUAUUGUAUGCUUCACCCUUCCUGUUAUGUAUACUUUUGUGCUCACUCUGGAACUUGCCUUUUCAG